RNAcentral lists this unclassified non-coding RNA (338 nucleotides) under Hevea brasiliensis (rubber tree). Lineage: Eukaryota; Viridiplantae; Streptophyta; Magnoliopsida; Malpighiales; Euphorbiaceae. The record is from RNAcentral.
AAUUACCAUGGAGAGGUGAGUUGGCGAGUCACAUAUGUAAGAAUCUGUUAUCACUAACAAUAGCGUUUAUGGCUAACAUUGGGUUUGAUGUUCCAUUGAGUGUUUGAGACAAAAGUAGUAAAAAUUGUGGAUGCUUUAUGGUUAAAAUAUUAUACUUCUUAGAUAUUGUUCAUGAAAGAAUGCACCAAAUGAACAUUUUUCAUUUUCCCCUGAAAUGGAAGGAUAUAGUCCUUGUAAUGUAUAAGAAAAAAUAAAAAAAACUUACCAUUCACCUGCUUUUGAAGUCCUGAUAAAUUUGUGCUUAUUUAUUCUUUAGGUGGUUACUAUUAAAGGCAAUG